GGAGUUACAAUAAUGGGCCUAGAAUUGUAUGACUGUUACAUUUUUUUUCGCCUAUUCUUUUAAUGGCCCUUGAAUUGUAUGACUCUUACGUUUUUUUUUCGUCCAAGUCACGUGACUUUCAAGCUACCGGCCGUGAGAACAAAAAACAUGGCGGACAUUCUCUCAUUUUUAGUGGAAAAAUCUAUAUUUUGAGUUAGUUUCUGAAUAAAAAGAAGUUUUGAUUACAUUUCUAGCGAGAAAUAUAUAUUUUAUUUUCAUAAUAUUCACUCAGUGAAUUUACAUAAUCAUCGCUUGCUCGAUUUUACGCAGAUUUUUCAGAUCUCGCCAGAAUAAUGUGAAACUGAUACGUUUUGGUUGCUAUGGACACUGCCAGGGCUCGUCACAUGACGUCUUUUAAAGACUUUAUUAAAACCGCGUUCAGCUACAGGUAAAACAACAUUCAGAGGUGAUUUUAACAACGCUCCACGGCGCGUGAGAGUAAGCAUUUUAAGCGUUUUCUGAUCAUGUAGGUAAGUGCUUUUAUUAGACGUGAUGCAUGCUGGGUGGGAAAUUAUUUUUUAUCAAAGACUCGUUGAUGGUAAUUAAUAUAGAUAUGAAUAUACAUUUUGCAACCCUGUAUCACAUGAAAUACGUUCUGAGGAAACUAUUUUGCAAAUCGCAAUUACGUUACAUGCCAACAUAUAAGCAGUGCUAUUACGUUGGUCCUUAACCUAAUAUGACCCGUCGCCAUGGACACAAGGGGUCGGAUAUCUAAAGUUAAAUAUUUUUAACUUACGCGUGAAAUGGUUGAUUUUAAAAAUAUAUAUAUUCUAAGUAAACAACAACAGCCCAGGUUUAGUAAACAUUUUUUUAUUGAAACUAUAAAUAAAUAUUCUGCAUCCAUUUUAGGUGUGCCACUGUGGGUGGCUCCCGCACACCCCCGUGGCUACGCCCCUGCCGUGACCCAAAUCUCGUUCUCACAUCAUCGCGAUGUUUAUCAUCUAUUUACAAACGUAGCCAGUCGCCACAUCUUUAUUAGCCUAUCCCCUGUAUGUCAUCGAUGCGCUACUUCAAAGAUGUGAGGAAAAGAACAUACACCUGCGAGUAGUCUGUUACAUUGCCUGUGUUAUUGCCUCACAUUUGCAGAAAUCAGGGGAGGGCAUAUCACACAACAUUGCAUUGGCCGUACCAGCAUUUCAUGUUUAUGGACACAAAUUGCCCUGCCAGAUCAAGUACAGUACCAGAUUGCUUGAUGGGUUUGGGCUCACAGACGGGGAAGGAAUGGAAAGGCUGUGGUCUUUCCUCCAAAGAUUUGCCAGAGUCACAAAGGAGAUGACUCCAUCUCAUCGCCUUGACCUACUGACUGAUGCCCUUUUGCAUUAUGGACGGAGGAAAUCAACUGACCUAGGUGCAGCUACUGCAAAGAGUAGACAAAGCAGAGAAAAUAUUGAUUCUUGCUCAGGAAGAUAUCUCAUGUCAUCAGAGAGGCACCAGUGUUGAUUUCUGAAGGAGACAUGGAGAGAUGGAAAAAGCUAGCCCAACAGAAACCAAUAAGUAAGGAACUGAAGUUAAAGUCUUAAAUACUACACUGUCUGUAGAUGGAAAAGGGACUACAUCAUCAGACUGAUUCAGUUCUACAAGUUCAA
Molecule: non-coding RNA, 1625 nt
Organism: Misgurnus anguillicaudatus (oriental weatherfish)
Lineage: Eukaryota; Metazoa; Chordata; Actinopteri; Cypriniformes; Cobitidae
Source: RefSeq, a predicted model, not a curated record